GUUGCGAUGGCCGAGUGGUUAAGGCGUUUGACUUGAUAUCAAAUGGGAUCUUCCCGCGUAGGUUCGAAUCCUACUCGCAACG
Molecule: transfer RNA, 82 nt
Filed under: Lytechinus variegatus (green sea urchin)
Lineage: Eukaryota; Metazoa; Echinodermata; Echinoidea; Temnopleuroida; Toxopneustidae
Description: tRNA-Ser
Rfam family: tRNA
About the family: Transfer RNA (tRNA) molecules are approximately 80 nucleotides in length. Their secondary structure includes four short double-helical elements and three loops (D, anti-codon, and T loops).
Source: RNAcentral